RNAcentral lists this ribosomal RNA (776 nucleotides) under uncultured Neocallimastigales. RNAcentral describes it as "partial large subunit ribosomal RNA". It matches the Rfam family "Eukaryotic large subunit ribosomal RNA", at positions 18 to 634 of the family's 3401-position model. The record is from RNAcentral. Lineage: Eukaryota; Fungi; Neocallimastigomycota; Neocallimastigomycetes; Neocallimastigales.
UCAGACGAUGCGUCAUGCAUAUCAAUAAGCGGAGGAAAAGAAACUAACAAGGAUUCCCUUAGUAACGGCGAGUGAAGCGGGAAGAGCUCAAAUUUGAAAUCUUCAAGGUUUUACCUUGACGAAUUGUAGUUUAAAGAAGUGUUUUCUGCUGAAGUUUUGGUAAAAGUUCUUUGGAAUAGGACAUCAUAGAGGGUGAGAAUCCCGUAUUUGACCAUUAUUUUCAGCUUUGUGAUACACUUUCAAAGAGUCGGAUUGUUUGGGAAUGCAGUCCAAAAUGGGUGGUAAAUUUCAUCUAAAGCUAAAUAUUGGCGAGAGACCGAUAGCGAACAAGUACCGUGAGGGAAAGAUGAAAAUAGAACUUUGAAAAGAGAGUUAAACAGUACGUGAAAUUGUCAAAAGGGAAGCGUUUGACACCAGUGUUGUUUUCUCGAAAAUCAAUUAAAAAUGGCUCGAUUUUGUAUUGCUGAGACCUUAAAAGCUCACUGUACAUUUUUCGUGUCUUUUUUAAUGCACUUUUCGUUUAACAAGUCAACAUCAGUUUCUUUUGUUGUAAAAGGGUCAUUGGAAGGUGGCUUUCUUUUCGGAGAAAGUGUUUAUAGCCUUUGGCCUCUGCAAUCGGAGAGACUGAGGUCUGCAGCGUAGACUCUUCGGGGUUAGAUACAUUUGUGCUAAGUUAUAGCUUUUUAUAGACAACUUGUUGACUAUAAUUAGUCUUGUAGCUUACUCGCUUAUGCUAUUUUACCUACGCUUAGGAUGUUGAACUACUGAGACAUAGA